UGUGGGAGCGGGCUUGCUCGCGAAUGCGCAGUGUCAGUCGCCACAUGUGCUGGCUGACCCACUGCUUUCGCGAGCAAGCCCGCUCCCACA
RNAcentral lists this unclassified non-coding RNA (90 nucleotides) under Pseudomonas fluorescens. Lineage: Bacteria; Pseudomonadati; Pseudomonadota; Gammaproteobacteria; Pseudomonadales; Pseudomonadaceae. The record is from RNAcentral.